ACGUGCGCCCUUCAGUAUACAGCUCUGAAACGAUAUUUAUAAUAGGAUACGACAACAGAAAAAGUGCAAAAAAUAAGGAAUGCUUCUCACCUGGAAUCUCAACUCCGAUUCUGCUGAGGUGGCUGCUAUAAUCGCGAUAACAUCCCUUCGGCUCAAAGGCUACAUUCUCUCAUAAUCGGGUUACCUCCGUUUCGGAGAAAGAGAUGAGUUACCGGAGGCAGUCCAAGCACUUCUUCUGCAAGCUCUUUAAGCUCCUGUAGCGUGGGUGGGCAUUGG
Molecule: long non-coding RNA, 276 nt
Organism: Varroa destructor (honeybee mite)
Lineage: Eukaryota; Metazoa; Arthropoda; Arachnida; Mesostigmata; Varroidae
Source: RefSeq, a predicted model, not a curated record